RNAcentral lists this long non-coding RNA (1710 nucleotides) under Phasianus colchicus (ring-necked pheasant). Its description in RNAcentral is "lncRNA (ENSPCLG00000010217.1)". Lineage: Eukaryota; Metazoa; Chordata; Aves; Galliformes; Phasianidae. The record is from RNAcentral.
GUCAGCUUUGCUUCGCUUUCGGUCAUUCUUCUCUUUUUUUUUUUUAAACCAAACGCCUCAGGACGGACAGACGGACUCCAUCACCCUCCAGCAAGAGCUGUUCCCAGCGAGGCUGUGACGAGGCAGAACGGACGCAGCUCCCCGCUGCAGCCGCCCAGGGCAAACCCGACUCCCGCACGUUCCCAGACGGCCAUUUCUCCCCACCCCGAGAACCGAAUUCGAAGAACAAACCCAAGAGAAACUAACCCGGCAAAGGACGCGGCUCGGCUGCUCGGGGUUUCUGGGGUAACCCGAGGCCACCGGGCCGCCCCCCCGCGUCCCCACGCAGCCGGAGCGAGGCAGGGCAGGGCAGGUGCCGGGCGCGGCCGCCGACCUUCGCUCCGCGCACGGGCAGCGCCGCACCGGGAGCCCCGCGGCUCAAAGCUCCCCCAGCAGCGGCUCCCGACCCGGGGGGCUCCGCCGCGCCCGGCCUCAGCUGUCACGGCCCCGGAGCCGCGCCGUGAUUUCGUAACAGGGUGCCGAACAUUACGUAAGAAAACAGUUAUUCCCGCUGUGACGCGCCUCGGAGGGCAAAAAGGAAAGGCGAACCGCCAUCGGCUGCCACCCGGCGCCGGUCGUUCCCCCCCCACAAUCACGCAGCGCGGUGACCCGGCGACCCGGACCCCGCUCGCUCUACCUGGCCCCACCGCGGCGGCAGCACCGCGCGCUGCGCUCCGCUCCCGAUGCCGCCUCGGGCUCCUGCGGCUCGGCCUGACCCCGUCCUGUUCCGGCCCGGCGCCUCCCCGGGCUCUGCGGUGGCGGCUGCGUGACGUCGGGCGGGGACGGCGGGGAGGGGACGGGGCGGGACGGGGCGGGCUCUGCCGCCGCACCGGGAGCCGGGAGCCUUUCCCCGGACUCAGCGGCACCGAGCGACCCCGGCUGGACCGGGACGCAGCACCCCCGAAGCGGCCCCGAGGCACCUGCAAAGCGCGGCCCUCGGCCCCGGCUGGAAACCGUGUCGGAGGACUCGCCGGAGAUGUCCGUAUGAUGCAGCAGUGGGUGAAGGAGCUGCAAAGCGGAGAUGCUCAGGGAAGGACCGUUUGCAGCACUUUGCAUAACGCGCAUCUGCCAGAAGAUGGCAGCAGACGCCCUGGGAUGGAGCUGGCAGCGGUGGCAGCUGCUCUGCGGGGCUCUAUUUUUCAUAUACUCUUACGAGCUGCAGAUUGCGCUGCUAGGGUUGAUUCAAAUACAGCUUCAUUCCUAUCACUGAAGGAAGUAAGAAAAGACCACCAGAAAAUAAAGGGGGACCAUAAUAACAGCAAACUCCCACGGUUUCUUUCGAUCUCAGAGAACAGCAGUGAGACGUCCUUACAGCCACAGUGUUUUCUGAAUCUACACAACCACCUUGUCUUGGAAGCAACAAUUUGGUAUGUAAGAUAAAUAAGUGAUAAAAACCUGCCAAUGUUCUUUGUAGGCUAUUUAAACUCAAAGAGCUGCUGUAAAAGGAAGCAUUGGUAUUAAUUUGGUAGAUAAGACUUCCACUUGUGGUCACAGGGCUGCAAACCAAUGUGAUUAAUACAAUGCAGUCUAGCACUUCAGGGUUCCUCUGUACAGUUACAAACAAAAUGCACGAGUGCAAACCUACAUGUGGCUGAGCUAUGGGUGUGCACCCUCAGCCCUAAACAAAGCUGCAUUUCAGUAGCCAAUAAAACAGGACACAUUCAGCCUCCA